This 74-nucleotide transfer RNA is filed under the name Elusimicrobia bacterium CG1_02_63_36. Its description in RNAcentral is "tRNA-Gln". It matches the Rfam family "tRNA". From Rfam's summary of the family: Transfer RNA (tRNA) molecules are approximately 80 nucleotides in length. Their secondary structure includes four short double-helical elements and three loops (D, anti-codon, and T loops). Lineage: Bacteria; Pseudomonadati; Elusimicrobiota. RNAcentral also lists the same sequence under 3 other names. The record is from RNAcentral.
UGCCCGAUGGUGUAACGGUAGCACGACUGCCUCUGGAGCAGUUUGUCGGGGUUCGAAUCCCUGUCGGGCAACCA